RNAcentral lists this small nuclear RNA (300 nucleotides) under Sorex araneus (European shrew). RNAcentral describes it as "7SK RNA (ENSSARG00000019809.1)". It matches the Rfam family "7SK RNA". From Rfam's summary of the family: 7SK was discovered as an abundant small nuclear RNA in the mid-70s but a possible function has only recently been suggested. Two independent studies have found that 7SK RNA binds the CDK9/cyclin T complex (known as elongation factor P-TEFb). The record is from RNAcentral. Lineage: Eukaryota; Metazoa; Chordata; Mammalia; Eulipotyphla; Soricidae.
GGACAUGCAGGAGGCUGAGUGGAAUGUUCAUCUCACUACUGAUCACUGGAAUUGAUGGCAGCUGGUCUGGGAGGCUAAGUGGGAUCCCCUUCCUCAUAUCCCUCUCCGUGCAGUCCCUCCCUAAGCUUCCUGUCCUCGAAGAAUGAUAAGGUUUCUUUGGUCAAAGGGGUUGAAGAAACUGUGCUUCCCAUCUGGACCCUCCAAAGAGCCACUCAAGACCCACUUACAGGAGAACGAAGGGUGUUUCAGCUUCCAAGAUGCCAGACUCUUAAAUAAGGAAGGACACAUCUGCCUUUCUUU